AGAGUUUGAUCCUGGCUCAGAUUGAACGCUGGCGGCGUGCCUAACACAUGCAAGUCAAGCGGUAACAGGUGUAGCAAUACAUGCUGACGAGCGGCGAACGGGUGAGUAAUGCUUCGGAAUCUACCCAAUGGCGGGGAAUAACUAGCCGAAAGGUUAGCUAAUACCGCAUAAGCCCUACGGGGGAAAGCAGGGGAUCGUAAGACCUUGCACCGAUGGAUGAGCCGAAGCCGGAUUAGCUAGUUGGUAGGGUAACGGCCUACCAAGGCGACGAUCCGUAGCUGGUCUGAGAGGACGACCAGCCACACUGGGACUGAGACACGGCCCAGACUCCUACGGGAGGCAGCAGUGGGGAAUAUUGGACAAUGGGGGAAACCCUGAUCCAGCGACGCCGCGUGUGUGAAGAAGGCCUGCGGGUUGUAAAGCACUUUUAGUGGGGAUGAAAAGUUCAGGGCUAAUAUCCCUGGAUCUUGACCUAACCCAAAGAAAAAGCACCGGCUAACUCUGUGCCAGCAGCCGCGGUAAUACAGAGGGUGCAAGCGUUAAUCGGAAUUACUGGGCGUAAAGCGUGCGUAGACGGUUAUGUAAGUCAGGUGUGAAAGCCCCGGGCUCAACCUGGGAAUGCCAUUUGAGACUGCAUAGCUAGGGUACGGAAGAGGGAAGCGGAAUUUCAGGUGUAGCGGUGAAAUGCGUAGAUAUCUGAAGGAACACCAGUGGCGAAAGCGGCUUCCUGGUCCAGUACCGACGUUCAGGCACGAAAGCGUGGGGAGCAAACAGGAUUAGAUACCCUAGUAGUCC
Molecule: ribosomal RNA, 795 nt
Filed under: uncultured bacterium
Lineage: Bacteria
Description: bacterial SSU rRNA
Rfam family: Bacterial small subunit ribosomal RNA
Source: RNAcentral